RNAcentral lists this transfer RNA (84 nucleotides) under Microbacterium phage Cece. RNAcentral describes it as "tRNA-Tyr". Lineage: Duplodnaviria; Heunggongvirae; Uroviricota; Caudoviricetes. The record is from RNAcentral.
GUCGGUGCGCCAACGUUGGAGAGUUGGGGCGGUCUGUAAAACCGUUGCUAUUAGCUGAGUGGGUUCGAAUCCCAUCACCUUCAC